This 422-nucleotide ribosomal RNA is filed under the name uncultured archaeon. Its description in RNAcentral is "partial 16S ribosomal RNA". It matches the Rfam family "Archaeal small subunit ribosomal RNA", at positions 323 to 746 of the family's 1478-position model. The record is from RNAcentral.
CUACGGGUUGCAGCAGGCGAGAAAACUUUGCAAUGUGCGAAAGCACGACAAGGUUAAUCCGAGUGGUUUGUGCUAAACGAACCUUUUGACAGUCCUAGAAACACUGUUGAAUAAGGGGUGGGCAAGUUCUAGUGUCAGCCGCCGCGGUAAAACCAGCACCUCAAGUGGUCAGGAUGAUUAUUGGGCCUAAAGCAUCCGUAGCCGGCUCUGUAAGUUUUCGGUUAAAUCUGUACGCUCAACGUACAGGCUGCCGGGAAUACUGCAGAGCUAGGGAGUGGGAGAGGUAGACGGUACUCGGUAGGAAGGGGUAAAAUCCUUUGAUCUAUUGAUGACCACCUGUGGCGAAGGCGGUCUACCAGAACACGUCCGACGGUGAGGGAUGAAAGCUGGGGGAGCAAACCGGAUUAGAUACCCCCGUAGUC